This 312-nucleotide long non-coding RNA is filed under the name Schistocerca americana (American grasshopper). RNAcentral's name for it is "uncharacterized LOC124607344". The record is from RNAcentral. Lineage: Eukaryota; Metazoa; Arthropoda; Insecta; Orthoptera; Acrididae.
CGCCGAGACGCGGCGCGCCGUCCGCGACUCUGUCACCCGGCGACGCCGAAGCGCGCGUCGCGACGCCAGUCCCAGCCAGCGACGCCGCAGCCCGCCCAACCAAUUACGCGCUCCUCCACAGCGUUAGUGGGAAAAUCAGCCGUAGGUGCAAGUGAAUAACUCCACUAAGGCGACCACCCCAGUGAAAGCUACACAGGACUCACAAGGUCGCAGAGUGAACACCUGAUGCCGCUGCUGUGAGCUGUGCGGAACGCGGGUUCACUGUGUGGUUGCAGAAUGUAACUGCGGAGGAGGAUUCCAAUUAACAAGGUA